RNAcentral lists this small RNA (76 nucleotides) under Flavobacterium sp. 123. RNAcentral describes it as "Flavo-1 RNA". It matches the Rfam family "Flavo-1 RNA". The record is from Rfam by way of RNAcentral. Lineage: Bacteria; Pseudomonadati; Bacteroidota; Flavobacteriia; Flavobacteriales; Flavobacteriaceae.
UCCUAGCCCAGAUGGAAACGGCAUCCUGUUGUGGCGGGGUUCGCCACAAGAGAUAAAGUGUACAGCUGGAUAAGGC